GAGGGUGUAGCUCAGUGGUAGAAUUCCUGUUUAGCAUGCAUGAAGUCCUGGGUUCAAUUCCCAGUACCUCCA
RNAcentral lists this transfer RNA (72 nucleotides) under Camelus dromedarius (Arabian camel). It matches the Rfam family "tRNA". From Rfam's summary of the family: Transfer RNA (tRNA) molecules are approximately 80 nucleotides in length. Their secondary structure includes four short double-helical elements and three loops (D, anti-codon, and T loops). Further hydrogen bonds mediate the characteristic L-shaped molecular structure. tRNAs have two regions of fundamental functional importance: the anti-codon, which is responsible for specific mRNA codon recognition, and the 3' end, to which the tRNAs corresponding amino acid is attached (by aminoacyl-tRNA synthetases). tRNAs cope with the degeneracy of the genetic code in two manners: having more than one tRNA (with a specific anti-codon) for a particular amino acid; and 'wobble' base-pairing, i.e. permitting non-standard base-pairing at the 3rd anti-codon position. Lineage: Eukaryota; Metazoa; Chordata; Mammalia; Artiodactyla; Camelidae. RNAcentral also lists the same sequence under 1 other name. The record is from Rfam by way of RNAcentral.